Molecule: ribosomal RNA, 575 nt
Filed under: Pseudomonas sp. LR33
Lineage: Bacteria; Pseudomonadati; Pseudomonadota; Gammaproteobacteria; Pseudomonadales; Pseudomonadaceae
Description: bacterial SSU rRNA
Rfam family: Bacterial small subunit ribosomal RNA
Source: RNAcentral
GGGUGAGUAAUGCCUAGGAAUCUGCCUGGUAGUGGGGGAUAACGCUCGGAAACGGACGCUAAUACCGCAUACGUCCUACGGGAGAAAGCAGGGGACCUUCGGGCCUUGCGCUAUCAGAUGAGCCUAGGUCGGAUUAGCUAGUUGGUGAGGUAAUGGCUCACCAAGGCGACGAUCCGUAACUGGUCUGAGAGGAUGAUCAGUCACACUGGAACUGAGACACGGUCCAGACUCCUACGGGAGGCAGCAGUGGGGAAUAUUGGACAAUGGGCGAAAGCCUGAUCCAGCCAUGCCGCGUGUGUGAAGAAGGUCUUCGGAUUGUAAAGCACUUUAAGUUGGGAGGAAGGGCAUUAACCUAAUACGUUGGUGUUUUGACGUUACCGACAGAAUAAGCACCGGCUAACUCUGUGCCAGCAGCCGCGGUAAUACAGAGGGUGCAAGCGUUAAUCGGAAUUACUGGGCGUAAAGCGCGCGUAGGUGGUUCGUUAAGUUGGAUGUGAAAUCCCCGGGCUCAAACUGGGAACUGCAUUCAAAACUGACGAGCUAGAGUAUGGGAGAGGGUGGUGGAAUUUCCUGUG